This 34-nucleotide ribosomal RNA is filed under the name uncultured soil eukaryote. Its description in RNAcentral is "partial 5.8S ribosomal RNA". The record is from RNAcentral.
GGUAUUCCGGAGAGCAUGCCUGUUUGAGUGUCAU